This 495-nucleotide ribosomal RNA is filed under the name uncultured bacterium. RNAcentral describes it as "partial 16S ribosomal RNA". It matches the Rfam family "Bacterial small subunit ribosomal RNA", at positions 29 to 506 of the family's 1533-position model. The record is from RNAcentral.
AUGAACGCUGGCGGCGUGCCUAAUACAUGCAAGUCGAGCGAACAGAUAAGGAGCUUGCUCCUUUGACGUUAGCGGCGGACGGGUGAGUAACACGUGGGUAACCUACCUAUAAGACUGGGAUAACUUCGGGAAACCGGAGCUAAACCCGGAUAAUAUUUCGAACCGCAUGGUUCGAUAGUGAAAGAUGGGUUUGCUAUCACUUAUAGAUGGACCCGCGCCGUAUUAGCUAGGUGGUAAGGUAACGGCUUACCAAGGCGACGAUACGUAGCCGACCUGAGAGGGUGAUCGGCCACACUGGAACUGAGACACGGUCCAGACUCCUACGGGAGGCAGCAGUAGGGAAUCUUCCGCAAUGGGCGAAAGCCUGACGGAGCAACGCCGCGUGAGUGAUGAAGGUCUUCGGAUCGUAAAACUCUGUUAUUAGGGAAGAACAUACGUGUAAGUAACUGUGCACGUCUUGACGGUACCUAAUCAGAAAGCCACGGCUAACUACGU